GACGAACGCUGGCGGCGUGCUUAACACAUGCAAGUCGAACGGAAAGGCCCUGCUUUUGUGGGGUGCUCGAGUGGCGAACGGGUGAGUAACACGUGAGUAACCUGCCCUUGACUUUGGGAUAACUUCAGGAAACUGGGGCUAAUACCGGAUAGGAGCUCCUGCUGCAUGGUGGGGGUUGGAAAGUUUCGGCGGUUGGGGAUGGACUCGCGGCUUAUCAGCUUGUUGGUGGGGUAGUGGCUUACCAAGGCUUUGACGGGUAGCCGGCCUGAGAGGGGGACCGGCCACAUUGGGACUGAGAGACGGCCCAGACGCCUACGGGAGGCAGCAGUGGGGAGUAUGGCACAAUGGGCGGAAGCCUGAUGCAGCAACGCCGCGUGCGGGAUGACGGCCUUCGGGUUGUAAACCGCUUUCGCCUGUGACGAAGCGUGAGUGACGGUAAUGGGUAAAGAAGCACCGGCUAACUACGUG
RNAcentral lists this ribosomal RNA (468 nucleotides) under uncultured bacterium. Its description in RNAcentral is "partial 16S ribosomal RNA". It matches the Rfam family "Bacterial small subunit ribosomal RNA", at positions 28 to 507 of the family's 1533-position model. The record is from RNAcentral.